This 425-nucleotide unclassified non-coding RNA is filed under the name soil metagenome. Its description in RNAcentral is "partial contains 5.8S ribosomal RNA, internal transcribed spacer 2, and large subunit ribosomal RNA". The stretch from base 1 to 120 matches the Rfam family "5.8S ribosomal RNA", at positions 35 to 154 of the family's 154-position model. The record is from RNAcentral.
GAUGAAGAACGUAGCGAAAUGCGAUAAGUAGUGUGAAUUGCAGAGUUCCGUGAAUCAUCGAAUCUUUGAACGCACAUUGCGCCUUUUGGUAUUCCGGAAGGCAUGCCUGUUCGAGAGUCAUUAACAACCGUUUCGAUCCCUUUCUUUCAGAUAUUACAAAGAGGAAAAGGGUUUGGUUAUGGUGGAGGAGGGAAAGGGAGCGUUUAGCCUGUAAAAAAAGAGGCUGUGUUCCGCCUCCCCCCCAAAAUUGUACAGGCGGUCGUGUGCGCCCACGCAUCGAGGUGUUGUAAAAGCUGCCACGGCACUUUUCACCUGUGCAGUGCGAGAUUGGCCAGCCGGUUUAAAAACCCCUCCAAACAAUCAAAGGUUGACCUCGGAUCAGGUAGGGAUACCCGCUGAACUUAAGCAUAUCAAUAAGCGGAGGA